Mus musculus (house mouse) is the source of this 204-nucleotide long non-coding RNA. RefSeq annotates it as predicted gene, 41220. The transcript is spliced from 2 exons. The record is from RefSeq and is a predicted model, not a curated record. NCBI's taxonomy places the organism in Eukaryota, Metazoa, Chordata, Mammalia, Rodentia, Muridae.
CUGAUUCGUGUUUGGUAUCAUGACACUACUGAAUUGGACUGCUGGUAUCCUGAAAAACAGAGAUUGGAAUCGCCCCUAAAGAAUGACUUCUAAACAGGAGAAGCAAGGUGCAAGACAGGCCAAGCGCCUAGGGAAAAGAACCAAAUACUACUGUAUUGCUAAAGGAAUUAACAAUAAAGUGACUCCCAAUAGCUGUCUGCUAUA